This 3108-nucleotide long non-coding RNA is filed under the name Aquilegia coerulea. RNAcentral describes it as "long non-coding RNA (ACOE_LNC001077)". The record is from RNAcentral. Lineage: Eukaryota; Viridiplantae; Streptophyta; Magnoliopsida; Ranunculales; Ranunculaceae.
UCAUCACAAUGCUCCACGCAAUCCUCCUCCUAAUAACCAGAACAAUGGUGUUCAAUGUCAGAUUUGCAAAAGGAGGGGUCAUGAGGCUCACAAAUGUUGGCAUCGCUUUGAUAAUAGCUAUUAGGAUGAUCAGGUUCUUGAAGCCUUAGCUGCAAUUCAUCUUAAUCCACCUGAUGAAGGUGACUGGCAUCCCGAUUCCGCUGCUACAACGCACAUUACUAAUAAUCCAGGUAUACUCUCUAAUGUAAGGAAUUAUAAGGGAUUUGAUUCUGUUAUGGUUGGUAAUGGUUAAAAUUUGCCUAUCACACAUAUUGGUCAAGCACAUAUUUUUCCUAGGAACUCACAAUUAUCUCUACAUGAUGUGCUUGUCGUUUCUGAUAUAAAGAAAAACUUGAUCUCUAUUUUUCAACUUACAAAUGAUUAUCCUUGCUAUACUUUAUUUGAUGAUCAUGGUUUUCUUAUUAAGGACCGAAAGACGAAUCAGGUUUUGGCAUCGGGGAGUAAGAAAAAUGGAUUAUAUGUCAUAGACAAGGCUUCUGUCAAAGCUUUCUUCUCAAAUCGGUUUCAUGUAGUAGAUUCAGAUAUUUGGCAUGGACGGCCAUGACAUCCUCAACUUAGAGUUUUGAAUUAUUUGCAGCACAAUAAAUUUAUUUCAGUGAAUAAAAAGACUUCUAGUUUAAGUAAGAGUUGUGCUUUAAGCAAAAGCUCAAAGCUUCCUUUUUUUCCUUCAAGUAAUCGGGAAAACGCACUGUGUUAAGAUUUAUUGUGAUCUAUGGGGUCCUGUGUUUGUAUAGUUUUUGGAUACACUAAUCAAAAGAUAGAUUUGUAUUUGAAGUUCCUUCUUAUGCCUGUAUAAAUUGGUUAUCAAAGUAGACAAGUAACAAGCAAGGGUCGUACCCACCUCAGAGGGGGAGAUCUUAGCUCAAACACAAUAGCUAGAAAACAAUGGUUAAAGAACACCAAGGGAAUCAAUAAUAAGAUUAGAGAUUGAUUCUACUUCCUACAGGCAAUAAUAAAUAGUAAACCCUAACUUAAGAAUAUAGUAGAGAUGAAAAGAAGAUAUAUGAUGACAAAUGGGGAGAGUUGGUAUCCACUAACUAAAUCAUGCAAACAUAACAUGUUGUUCCUUCAUGUUCAAUCUAUAAUAAUUAAUUAGUUAUCUGUCGGUUAUUCCAACUAAUCAUUAAUAUCUAUAAUAAUCAAGUAGUCACCUCUCAACUAUUCCACUCAACUAAAACGGGAUUCUCUUAUGCAUGCUAUUGAAUAUAUCUUAAUAAUUAAACCGUCACCUCUCAGCUAUUGCAUCAUCUAGAGAGCUUCCACCAUCCCGCUAAGGAGAUUUAGCUACUCAUCCUUGAUAAUGAAACCAAAGAAUAAAUAAAUAAAACACAAUACAUCAUAAUGGAAAGAUUAAUAGAAUUGAUAUUGAAUAUUGAAUUUGAUACAAUGAAGAAGAAGAUGAACUUUUCUUCAAUGAAAGUUGAUCUCAAAGAAUAACUAAAAGAUAUCUAAACCCUAGCUACUACUUCUCUUAUAUAGAAAAUACAAAGUAGAAUACUUGCAUGCAAAGACUUCCAAACUAGGUCAAAUUCGUGGCUGCUGUUGUUGGUCUUCUAGAGGCAUUAGGUUUUUAGCAAAACCUAAUUCUCUUGGGCUUAAGUUGUAGUUGGGACCAAAGCCUCAAGUUUUAUUUUGCGAUAACAUAGACAACAGUUUAAGCACACUUUGGUUUUUUUUAUAGUAUGGGAGUGGUUCGGUCCUGGGAGGUCACGGGUUUGAUUCUUUGCAGCAACAUUUUAAAAUAAAUAUGUUGUUGAGGGGGAGUGUUGGUGGAUCCAUCCCCAUGUUUAGUUAGAACUGUGGGCCUAAUUGUUGCAAAAUCCACCUCCGUGUUUGGUUAGGUAUGUGACUACCAGUUUAUCCGGUAUUCCGGUUGAUAUACAUUGUGGUAAUCCCUCUAUAAGUUCGAGCUUUUAGAGAAACUGGCUUACAACAUGGUAUCAGAGGCAUCUAAACUCUAAAGAGUACGAUCCAUCAAUUCUCCAUUUUUUUUUCUUUCUUCAUACCAAAUGGCUGCACAACCUCUUCCUAAAUACCCAUACCCUGCAAAUCUUAAUGUUGCAAACUUUGUUUCUUUGAAACUCUCAUCUUCCAACUAUCUAUUGUGGGAAACACAAGUUCUAUCUUUGAUUGAAAGUCAAGAUUUACUUGGUUUCAUCACUGGAAACCACACCACAACCUGAACCUAUGGUUAAUGGUGAUGAAGGUGUAGUACCAAAUCCGGAUCUAGCGGCAUGGUCACGCAUUGACAGGUUGGUAAAAGCUUGGAUUACAGCUACCAUCUCAGAAGAAGCUCUUGGAAUUGUUGUCGGCUUUACCACUUCCUUCGAUGUUUGGAAGGCUUUGUCAAAUACUUAUUCACAAGAAUCUGAAGCUCGUGAGUUUGAGUUAUUUCUCAAACUUUAAAAAAGGAAAAAGGAGUCUGCUUCACUUGAUUACUACAUCUGGGAUUUCAAAUUAAUUUGUGAUCAACUCAAUGCCAUUGGCAAACCUGUACUUGAUCAGUCUCGGACCAUGGUAUGAAUCCUUUUCCACAGCCAUGCUUAAACCUCCUAUUCCAGCUUAUAACGAUUUAAUUACAUUAUUGCAUAGUCAUGAAUUAAUUCGAAAGUCUACUUUGUCUGAGCAUCCAAAUUUUGCACUUGCAUUUGUUGGAGAACGCUCUACUUCACGCAAUCAGUGUAAGCAUGGAUCUGGUUCUUCGUUUAAUUCACGAGGUCGAAGUUUCACUCCAGCAAGGUCAUAACCUCCUAAUACUCAUCGCAAUGCUCCACGCAAUCCUCCUCCUAAUAACCAGAACAAUGGUGUUCAAUGUCAGAUUUGCAAAAAGAGGGGUCAUGAGACUCACAAAUGUUGGCAUCGCUUUGAUAAUAGCUAUUAGGAUGAUCAGGUUCCUGAAGCCUUAGCUGCAAUUCAUCUUAAUCCACCUGAUGAAGGUGACUGGCAUCCUGAUUCCGCUGCUACAGCGCACAUUACUAAUAAUCCAGGUAUAUUCUCUAAUGUAAGGAAUUAUAAGGGAUUUGAUUCUGUUAUGGUUGGUAAUGGUGA